This 548-nucleotide ribosomal RNA is filed under the name uncultured Glomus. Its description in RNAcentral is "SSU rRNA". It matches the Rfam family "Eukaryotic small subunit ribosomal RNA", at positions 548 to 1098 of the family's 1831-position model. The record is from RNAcentral. Lineage: Eukaryota; Fungi; Glomeromycota; Glomeromycetes; Glomerales; Glomeraceae.
UUGGAGGGCAAGUCUGGUGCCAGCAGCCGCGGUAAUUCCAGCUCCAAUAGCGUAUAUUAAAGUUGUUGCAGUUAAAAAGCUCGUAGUUGAAUUUCGGGAUCAAUAUGUUGGUCGUGCCUUGGUACGUACUGGCGUCAUUGGUUUCUACCUUCUGAAGAACCUCGAUGUCAUUAAUUUGGUGUCUUGGGGAAUCAGGACUGUUACUUUGAAAAAAUUAGAGUGUGUAAAGCAAGCUCACGCUUGAAUACAUUAGCAUGGAAUAAUGAAAUAGGACGUUUGAUUCUACUUUGUUGGUUUCUAGGAUCGACGUAAUGAUUAAUAGGGAUAGUUGGGGGCAUUAGUAUUCAAUUGUCAGAGGUGAAAUUCUUGGAUUUAUUGAAGACUAACUACUGCGAAAGCAUUUGCCAAGGAUGUUUUCAUUAAUCAAGAACGAAAGUUAGGGGAUCGAAGACGAUCAGAUACCGUCGUAGUCUUAACCAUAAACUAUGCCGACUAGGGAUCGGAUGAUGUUAAUUUUUUAAUGACUCAUUCGGCGCCUUACGGGAAAC